RNAcentral lists this small RNA (154 nucleotides) under Phascolarctos cinereus (koala). RNAcentral's name for it is "Rhabdomyosarcoma 2 associated transcript conserved region 8 (ENSPCIG00000029234.2)". Lineage: Eukaryota; Metazoa; Chordata; Mammalia; Diprotodontia; Phascolarctidae. The record is from RNAcentral.
AGGUGAAAGAUGCCAGAGUGCUUGUAGCAACAGAACAGCCACAGAUGUUGGAUAAACUCAGAGAAGCCAACCUUCUGUUGGAGGACAUCCAGAAGGGACUGAAUGAUUAUUUGGAGAAGAAAAGAUUGUUUUUCCCCAGGUACACCAUGCUGUC